RNAcentral lists this ribosomal RNA (450 nucleotides) under uncultured bacterium. Its description in RNAcentral is "bacterial SSU rRNA". It matches the Rfam family "Bacterial small subunit ribosomal RNA", at positions 354 to 796 of the family's 1533-position model. The record is from RNAcentral.
GUAGGGAAUAUUGGACAAUGGGCGAAAGCCUGAUCCAGCAAUGCCGCGUGUGUGAAGAAGGCCUGCGGGUUGUAAAGCACUUUCAGUGGGAAAGAAAAGUUCAGGGUUAAUACCCCUGAGUCUUGACGUUACCCAAAGAAGAAGCACCGGCUAACUCUGUGCCAGCAGCCGCGGUAAUACAGAGGGUGCGAGCGUUAAUCGGAAUUACUGGGCGUAAAGCGUGCGCAGGUGGUUAAAUCAGUUGGAUGUGAAAGCCCCGGGCUUAACUUGGGAAUGGCAUUCAAUACUAUUUGACUAGAGUAUGGUAGAGGGAAGUGGAAUUCCCGGUGUAGCGGUGAAAUGCGUAGAUAUCGGGAGGAACAUCAGUGGCGAAGGCGGCUUCCUGGACCAAUACUGACACUCAGGCACGAAAGCGUGGGGAGCAAACAGGAUUAGAUACCCCAGUAGUCC